RNAcentral lists this ribosomal RNA (253 nucleotides) under uncultured bacterium. Its description in RNAcentral is "partial 16S ribosomal RNA". It matches the Rfam family "Bacterial small subunit ribosomal RNA", at positions 524 to 776 of the family's 1533-position model. The record is from RNAcentral.
UACGUAGGUGGCAAGCGUUGUCCGGAUUUACUGGGCGUAAAGGGAGCGUAGGCGGACCUUUAAGUGAGAUGUGAAAUACCCGAGCUCAACUUGGGUGCUGCAUUUCAAACUGGAGGUCUAGAGUGUCGGAGAGGUAAGUGGAAUUCCUAGUGUAGCGGUGAAAUGCGUAGAGAUUAGGAAGAACCCCGGUGGCGAAGGCGACUUACUGGACGAUAACUGACGCUGAGGCUCGAAAGCGUGGGGAGCAAACAGG